UACGUAGGUGGCAAGCGUUGUCCGGAAUUAUUGGGCGUAAAGCGCGCGCAGGCGGUCCUUUAAGUCUGAUGUGAAAGCCCACGGCUCAACCGUGGAGGGUCAUUGGAAACUGGGGGACUUGAGUACAGAAGAGAAGAGUGGAAUUCCACGUGUAGCGGUGAAAUGCGUAGAGAUGUGGAGGAACACCGGUGGCGAAGGCGGCAUCCUGGACCGGCAUUGACGCUGAGGCGCGAAAGCCAGGGGAGCAAACGGG
This 253-nucleotide ribosomal RNA is filed under the name uncultured bacterium. RNAcentral describes it as "partial 16S ribosomal RNA". It matches the Rfam family "Bacterial small subunit ribosomal RNA", at positions 524 to 776 of the family's 1533-position model. The record is from RNAcentral.